CGGGGUGAGUAAUGUAUGGGGAUCUGCCUGAUGGCGGGGGAUAACUACUGGAAACGGUAGCUAAUACCGCAUAACGUCGCAAGACCAAAGAGGGGGACCUCCGGGCCUCGCGCCAUCAGAUGAACCCAUAUGGGAUUAGCUUGUAGGUAAGGUAACGGCUUACCUAGGCGACGAUCCCUAGCUGGUCUGAGAGGAUGAUCAGCCACACUGGGACUGAGACACGGCCCAG
This 229-nucleotide ribosomal RNA is filed under the name uncultured bacterium. Its description in RNAcentral is "partial 16S ribosomal RNA". It matches the Rfam family "Bacterial small subunit ribosomal RNA", at positions 104 to 334 of the family's 1533-position model. The record is from RNAcentral.